This is a long non-coding RNA of Salvia miltiorrhiza (redroot sage), 880 nucleotides long. RefSeq lists it as uncharacterized. The transcript is spliced from 7 exons. The record is from RefSeq and is a predicted model, not a curated record. NCBI's taxonomy places the organism in Eukaryota, Viridiplantae, Streptophyta, Magnoliopsida, Lamiales, Lamiaceae.
GAUUGUUAGAGUUGAAAAUGUUAACGCAGAAGCAAGUGAACUCGAAAAUGUCGGUGUAGAUUCCCUGCUUAAGCAUGAUGCUAUGAUUGGUUCUGCUAAUGUGCGGUUUGCUAAGGAGGCCGAACUUGAUGUUCAACCACGUUUACCAAACGAACCUGAUGCUCAACUCGACAACAUAGUUCAUUGUACACCUGUUCAAAAGUCCAAGGGAAAGGCUACGAUUGAGGGGAAAUGAUCAAUAAAAAGAACUAUGCCGAUGAGCAAGUCACAGAGGGUCAAGAAUCAAUCAGUUGAGAAUAAUACUGGAUCGAACGAUGGAGAUAAUGAGAACGAACGGACAACGAAUUGGAUUACACCUCUUGUGAUAUCUGCUGGAGACGAGCACUCUUCUUAUAUGGACAACAUUACUACUGAUGCUGACUUAUGUAAGCUGCCAGAGGAUGGUCUUGAUCCUGUAGCCUCUUUACCUCAACUAUGAAAAUGAUAUUACUGAGAUGACGAAUAUCUGCAAUGUUCAACAAAAAGAGCGUGUCGGAGUUGGAAUUGUCACCGGACAAGGAAGUGAACUCGAAAAGUUCGUCGUAGAUUCCAUGAUGAAGGAUGAUGCUACGAUUGCAUCUCCUAACGUGCUGUUUGCUGAGGAGGAAGGACUUGUUAGUUUCGUGUCCAUUUCAUCCGUUCACUAUUGUAGAAUUGUGAUAUAUGUUUAUAUUGUAUUCUUCAAGUUUUAUGUUCGUCAUCUGUAUAAGAUGUUCGACCAACAUCAUCAAACGAACCUGAGGUUGAGCCCGACAACGUAGUUCAGAGUACGCCUGUUCAGAAGGGCGUGUUAUAUCUUUAAGGCAAACUACUAUAUUAAUAUGCAAUUACUUUAUUAUUA